Molecule: ribosomal RNA, 253 nt
Filed under: uncultured bacterium
Lineage: Bacteria
Description: partial 16S ribosomal RNA
Rfam family: Bacterial small subunit ribosomal RNA
Source: RNAcentral
UACGAAGGGGGCUAGCGUUGCUCGGAAUCACUGGGCGUAAAGGGUGCGUAGGCGGGUCUUUAAGUCAGGGGUGAAAUCCUGGAGCUCAACUCCAGAACUGCCUUUGAUACUGAAGAUCUUGAGUUCGGGAGAGGUGAGUGGAACUGCGAGUGUAGAGGUGAAAUUCGUAGAUAUUCGCAAGAACACCGGUGGCGAAGGCGGCCAUCUGGCCCGUAUUUGACGCUGAGGCGCGAAAGCGUGGGGAGCAAACAGG